AAGGUACUCCGUCCCAAAAUUCUUAUCUUAGUUUUGUCUAGAUAUGAAUGUAUCUAGUCACGUUUUGGUAUUUAGAUACAUCCAGACAAACAUAAGACAAGAAUUUUGGGAUGGAGGGAGUACCAA
RNAcentral lists this microRNA precursor (126 nucleotides) under Hordeum vulgare. RNAcentral describes it as "microRNA MIR1122". It matches the Rfam family "MIR1120/MIR1122 microRNA precursor family". The record is from RNAcentral. Lineage: Eukaryota; Viridiplantae; Streptophyta; Magnoliopsida; Poales; Poaceae.